GAUGAACGCUGGCGGCGUGCUUAACACAUGCAAGUCGAACGGUGAAGCCCAGCUUGCUGGGUGGAUCAGUGGCGAACGGGUGAGUAACACGUGAGCAACCUGCCCUGGACUCUGAGAUAAGCGCUGGAAACGGCGUCUAAUACUGGAUAUGAGACGUGAUCGCAUGGUCAACGUCUGGAAAGAUUUUUCGGUCUGGGAUG
RNAcentral lists this ribosomal RNA (200 nucleotides) under uncultured bacterium. Its description in RNAcentral is "partial 16S ribosomal RNA". It matches the Rfam family "Bacterial small subunit ribosomal RNA", at positions 28 to 227 of the family's 1533-position model. The record is from RNAcentral.